UACAGAGGUCUCAAGCGUUGUUCGGAUUCAUUGGGCGUAAAGGGUGCGUAGGCGGCGCGGUAAGUCGGGUGUGAAAUCUUGGAGCUUAACUCCGAAACUGCAUUCGAUACUGCCGUGCUUGAGGACUGGAGAGGAGACUGGAAUUUACGGUGUAGCGGUGAAAUGCGUAGAUAUCGUAAGGAAGACCAGUGGCGAAGGCGGGUCUCUGGGCCAUAACUGACGCUGAGAAGCGAAAGCAUGGGGAGCGAACAGG
This 253-nucleotide ribosomal RNA is filed under the name uncultured bacterium. RNAcentral's name for it is "partial 16S ribosomal RNA". It matches the Rfam family "Bacterial small subunit ribosomal RNA", at positions 524 to 776 of the family's 1533-position model. The record is from RNAcentral.